UAACCUGGUCAGCUUUUAUCUGCCAUUUUACCCAGUAGUCACUGAACUGAGCUGGCUGAUCCAUUUAUUGGCGAGACCCAGCCAAACUAAAACGUAGUCCUGGGUUCUUCACUCGUUCGUGAUUAAAAACUAUUGGCGCGGCCAAAUAAAAGUUACUUUAAGUGUCUGCAACGUUCGCCCACUUAAACUCCGACCCAGCAGCACAAUGGUCCCCAUAAAAACGAUCGAAUGACUGGAGAAGGGAAGGGGCGGUUGCACGCAUUCAGCUGCGAAUUGUGGACAAGUCGGUAACGAAAGAGUUAAUUCUAUCUUUUGAUUAGCUCACUAACAAUAACUUUAUGCCAUGCAUCCAAUGACUGGCGCUGUGUAUUCAAAGUCGGCUGAUUUGUUUAAUAAAUGUGCCGAGCGUGUAUCUGCGUGUGUCUUUUUUUUUCCAAAGAAGUGUUUGGCUACUCGUAUUUUUUAAUGCAUCUAAUAAUUAUUUUAGCAUUCAGAGCAGCGUCGAACCGUUUCACUUGUGACUCCUUUUAUUCGCAGAAACCCCUAUGGGUGCCUCCGAGCAAAGCAAGUCAACGAUCUAUCACGCAGCCGAUUCAAUAGCAGGCUGAGCUAACCUUGACCUCUACCUAGACCUCGCUCCAUCUGGUGCCAGGGUGUUUUUCAUAAUGUUGAUGCCUUGCAGUCAAAAUUGAUCAACGCGGAAUCGACCGCCUGACCUCCUCAAGGAGCGUUGCGAGAUACGAUACGCUUUAUUGAAAAGGUCCGUUGCUGUACCCAUUGAAAAUAAAGGCGAACUUGGCAGUG
Molecule: long non-coding RNA, 804 nt
Organism: Amblyraja radiata (thorny skate)
Lineage: Eukaryota; Metazoa; Chordata; Chondrichthyes; Rajiformes; Rajidae
Exons: 2
Source: RefSeq, a predicted model, not a curated record